UUAGGUUAUAGGUUAUAGCUUUAGGGAAUUGAGAAUGGGUUAUGGUUUAGGUUUAGGAAAUCGGGUUCAGGUUCGGGAUUGGGUUUAAGUUUGGGUUUUCAAGUUUAGGUUUAGGUUAGGGAGUUGAGAUUAGGAUUAGGUGUAGGUUUAGGUUUAGGGAAUUGAGUUUAGGUUAUAGGUUUAGGGAGAGGUUAGGUUUAGGUUAUAGGUUUUGGGAUUUGGGAAUAGUUUUAGGUUAUAAGUAUAGGUUUAGGUUAGGUUAUAGGUUAAGGUUUAGGGAUUUGAGUUUAGGUUAUAGGAUUAGGUUACGGUUUAGGUUUAGGUUAUAGGUUUUGGGAUUUGAGAAUGGGUUCGGGUUUAGGUUAUAGGUUUUGGUUUUGGUUUAGGUUAUAUGUUUUGGUUUAGGUUAUAGGUUUUUGGAUUUGAGAAUGGGUUCGGGUUUAGGUUAUAGUUUAGGUUAUAGGUUUUGGUUUUGGUUUAGGUUUUGGGAUUUGAGAAUGGGUUCGGGCUUAGGUUAUAGGUUUUGGUUUUGGUUUUGGUUUUGGGAUUUGAGAAUGGGUUCGGGUUUAGGUUAUAGGUUUUGGUUUUGGUUUAGGUUAUAGGUUUUGAGAUUUGAGAAUGGGUUCGGGUUUAGGUUAUAAGUUUUGGUUUUGGUUUAGGUUUAUGUUAUAGGUUUUUGGAUUUGAGAAUGGGUUAUGGUUUAGGUUUAGGAAAUCGGGUUCAGGUUUGGGAUUGGGUUUAAGUUUGGGUUUUCAAGUUUAGGUUUAGGUUUAGGUUAGGGAGUUGAGAUUAGGAUUAGGUGUAGGUUUAGCUUUAGGGAAUUGAGUUUAGGUUAUAGGUUUAGGGAAAGGUUAGGUUUAGGUUAUAGGUUUUGGGAUUUGGGAAUAGUUUUAGGCUAUAAGUAUAGGUUUAGGUUAGGUUUUAGGUUAA
Magnolia sinica is the source of this 930-nucleotide long non-coding RNA. RefSeq lists it as uncharacterized. The transcript is spliced from 3 exons. NCBI's taxonomy places the organism in Eukaryota, Viridiplantae, Streptophyta, Magnoliopsida, Magnoliales, Magnoliaceae. The record is from RefSeq and is a predicted model, not a curated record.